GAGUCACAUUGGUCCUCCAUAG
RNAcentral lists this non-coding RNA (22 nucleotides) under Mus musculus (house mouse). Lineage: Eukaryota; Metazoa; Chordata; Mammalia; Rodentia; Muridae. The record is from RNAcentral.